AGACGUCUACAUUAGAUACCCGGGUAGUCCUAGCCGUAAACGAUACUCGCUAGGUGUCGGCCACGGUGCGACCGUUGUCGGUGCCGUAGGGAAGCCGUGAAGCGAGCCACCUGGGAAGUACGGCCGCAAGGCUGAAACUUAAAGGAAUUGGCGGGGGAGCACCACAACGGGUGGAGCUUGCGGUUUAAUUGGAUUCAACGCCGGAAAUCUUACCGGGACCGACAGCAACAUGAAGGCCGGGCUGAAGACUUUGCCGGAUUAGCUG
RNAcentral lists this ribosomal RNA (265 nucleotides) under uncultured archaeon. RNAcentral describes it as "partial 16S ribosomal RNA". It matches the Rfam family "Archaeal small subunit ribosomal RNA", at positions 717 to 982 of the family's 1478-position model. The record is from RNAcentral.